UACAAUAAUCUUUGAUAUAACUGAGAGGCGCCCUUUUGAUAAAUUUAAUUGUUUACUUUGUUUGCAAUUAAAUUGUUGUCAACAAAACGAAAAGUUUCCUUGAAAAUUUAUCGAGUGCGAAGCUGAGUUAAAUUGACGGAAUAGACGAGGAUUUCGGUGGCCCCUGCAGCUGGAUUUCGGCGGAAUUGAGUAGGACAGAAGCCUUCUUAGCCUAUAGCUUCUUUUCGGACGAAUAUUCCAGCUUUUGUGGAAAUCAGGACGAUCAGGAAAAGCGCUUGACGAAACGAAAAGCUUCUGGGCAGGUCUUCACGCGUUCACCUCAUUGCAUCGUUGGCCGUGCUGUGACGUUAUGUUUUUGGUGACAUUCUUUGAGAAAAAUCCGUUUCAUGAUCAGGUAGCAAUUGCCUAAGUGCCUUAAAAAGAACUACAGAAAAAGGAUAAUAUAAAACCGAUCUUUGCUGCGUGGGAAUUUAACACCCUUCAAUUUUCCUUGGAAUUCCGUGUUCAAACCAGUGAUUACAGGGAUCCGUAUACGCUGCAGCUGUUUCAUCAGAUAAAUCGAAGAUAACAUCAAUUCUGGUCUUGCUCACUAAGCGGGGUGCACGAAUUAAAUUUUAGACCGGAACAAUAAUUUCUGCAAGUGGUCAUGGUCAUCUAUCGGUUGUUGUGGAAAAACAUGCACAAAAUGUUUUCGGUUCAUUUGGAAAGCAGUAUCCGGAAGUGCUUGAAACAGAAUGACGUUUUCUACAGAACGAGUACGGAUUUGAAAAUACUUGUUCUGCAACUUAAAUUUGGGUUUUGGAAUAGGAAAUCCAUGACGGUUUCCACAGCACAGUGUUUUGUAUACUUUAGCAUCACUGCUUCUGAAGCAGCGUUGCAGGAAUGUUGGCUACGGGGAGAAUUAUUUUCCCUCUGCAAAAGGAUGACAAGAAUUUCCGAGACGAGAUGGAAGUUGCUCACGAAUACAAACAGAGCCUACGAAAGGAAAAUGUAACGAACAGCAAAAACCACUCUUAAGAUUCAACCGGUUGUUGCCAAGGAUUCUCGCAAGCGAAUGCCUCCAAACCGAUGCUACCCAAUAAGGAAAUCGAAGGCGUACGGCAGCCGAUUUAUGUGGACUGUGGAUUCUCAGAUAAGCUAAGCUAAACUAUUACGCAGAGAAAAGCUAAAAAACGAUUAUUGAACGUUGUCCAAAGAAAAGCAGAAUGCCUGAUCAGUUCUCAUCAUAAACGGUUUUCCACUGGCAUACAUCUAGAGCUUACUUAAAAGAAAGGUAGCUAACUUUUGAUCUUCAAAAUAGUUUUUCAGUUUCAUUACAAGUAAUGUUAUAGAUGAAAAUUAACCGACGGCGUUUCUAAAUGGGGUUAUAAAUAGCUCUUCCGCAAUUUCCGUAUGAAAACUACCGAGAAAAUAGAUUUUGCUGUUAAUCAUUGCGAAAUGUUAGUUCAUCAGAACAAUUGAUUACUUGAGACACGGUUCCCAUAAUCGCAGAUUGAAAAAUCGUUUGUUCAAAUCGGAGUGUUAUGUCUUAUAAAAAUUUAAUAAUUCUUAAAAAGAAAUUUGAAUUCAGAGUAAGACUAAAUUCUGUGAACGAACAAAGUGGCAAAUAAAAUCA
Molecule: long non-coding RNA, 1615 nt
Organism: Uranotaenia lowii
Lineage: Eukaryota; Metazoa; Arthropoda; Insecta; Diptera; Culicidae
Exons: 3
Source: RefSeq, a predicted model, not a curated record